RNAcentral lists this ribosomal RNA (497 nucleotides) under uncultured bacterium. RNAcentral's name for it is "partial 16S ribosomal RNA". It matches the Rfam family "Bacterial small subunit ribosomal RNA", at positions 28 to 507 of the family's 1533-position model. The record is from RNAcentral.
GAUGAACGCUGGCGGCGUGCCUAAUACAUGCAAGUCGAGCGAAUAGAUGAGGAGCUUGCUCCUCUGACGUUAGCGGCGGACGGGUGAGUAACACGUGGAUAACCUACCUAUAAGACUGGGAUAACUUCGGGAAACCGGAGCUAAUACCGGAUAAUAUAUUGAACCGCAUGGUUCAAUAGUGAAAGACGGUUUUGCUGUCACUUAUAGAUGGAUCCGCGCCGCAUUAGCUAGUUGGUAAGGUAACGGCUUACCAAGGCAACGAUGCGUAGCCGACCUGAGAGGGUGAUCGGCCACACUGGAACUGAGACACGGUCCAGACUCCUACGGGAGGCAGCAGUAGGGAAUCUUCCGCAAAGGGCGAAAGCCUGACGGAGCAACGCCGCGUGAGUGAUGAAGGUCUUCGGAUCGUAAAACUCUGUUAUUAGGGAAGAACAAAUGUGUAAGUAACUAUGCACGUCUUGACGGUACCUAAUCAGAAAGCCACGGCUAACUACGUG